This 253-nucleotide ribosomal RNA is filed under the name uncultured bacterium. RNAcentral's name for it is "partial 16S ribosomal RNA". It matches the Rfam family "Bacterial small subunit ribosomal RNA", at positions 524 to 776 of the family's 1533-position model. The record is from RNAcentral.
UACGAAGGGGGCUAGCGUUGUUCGGAAUUACUGGGCGUAAAGCGCACGUAGGCGGAUAUGUAAGUCAGGGGUGAAAUCCCGGGGCUCAACCUCGGAACUGCCUUUGAUACUGCAAGUCUUGAGUCCGGAAGAGGUGAGUGGAAUUCCUAGUGUAGAGGUGAAAUUCGUAGAUAUUAGGAAGAACACCAGUGGCGAAGGCGGCUCACUGGUCCGGUACUGACGCUGAGGUGCGAAAGCGUGGGGAGCAAACAGG